Molecule: ribosomal RNA, 1405 nt
Filed under: uncultured bacterium
Lineage: Bacteria
Description: partial 16S ribosomal RNA
Rfam family: Bacterial small subunit ribosomal RNA
Source: RNAcentral
AGAGUUUGAUCCUGGCUCAGGACGAACGCUGGCGGCGUGCCUAAUACAUGCAAGUAGAACGCUGAAGGAGGGAGCUUGCUUCUUCUGGAUGAGUUGCGAACGGGUGAGUAACGCGUAGGUAACCUGCCUGAUAGCGGGGGAUAACUAUUGGAAACGAUAGCUAAUACCGCAUAAGAGGUAAUAACACAUGUUAUUAGUUUAAAAGGGGCAAUUGCUCCACUAUCAGAUGGACCUGCGUUGUAUUAGCUAGUUGGUAAGGUAACGGCUUACCAAGGCGACGAUACAUAGCCGACCUGAGAGGGUGAUCGGCCACACUGGGACUGAGACACGGCCCAGACUCCUACGGGAGGCAGCAGUAGGGAAUCUUCGGCAAUGGGGGCAACCCUGACCGAGCAACGCCGCGUGAGUGAAGAAGGUUUUCGGAUCGUAAAGCUCUGUUGUAAGAGAAGAACGGAUGUGGGAGUGGAAAAUCCAUGUCGUGACGGUAUCUUACCAGAAAGGGACGGCUAACUACGUGCCAGCAGCCGCGGUAAUACGUAGGUCCCGAGCGUUGUCCGGAUUUAUUGGGCGUAAAGCGAGCGCAGGCGGUUUCAUAAGUCUGAAGUUAAAGGCAGUGGCUUAACCAUUGUACGCUUUGGAAACUGUGAGACUUGAGUGCAGAAGGGGAGAGUGGAAUUCCAUGUGUAGCGGUGAAAUGCGUAGAUAUUAGGAGGAACACCAGUGGCGAAGGCGGCCUACUGGACGACAACUGACGCUGAGGCGCGAAAGCGUGGGGAGCAAACAGGAUUAGAUACCCUGGUAGUCCACGCUGUAAACGAUGAAUACUAGGUGUGGGGGGACUGACCCCUUCCGUGCCGCAGUUAACACAAUAAGUAUUCCACCUGGGGAGUACGAUCGCAAGAUUGAAACUCAAAGGAAUUGACGGGGGCCCGCACAAGCAGUGGAUUAUGUGGUUUAAUUCGACGCAACGCGAAGAACCUUACCGGGAUUUGACAUCCUACUAACGAAGUAGAGAUACAUUAGGUGCCCUUCGGGGAAAGUUGAGACAGGUGGUGCAUGGUUGUCGUCAGCUCGUGUCGGGAGAUGUUGGGUUAAGUCCCGCAACGAGCGCAACCCCUAUUGCUAGUUGCUACGCAAGAGCACUCUAGCGAGACUGCCGUUGACAAAACGGAGGAAGGCGGGGACGACGUCAAAUCAUCAUGCCCCUUAUGUCCUGGGCUACACACGUAAUACAAUGGUGGUUAACAGAGGGAAGCAAGAGAGCGAUCUGGAGCAAAUCCCUAAAAGCCAUCUCAGUUCGGAUUGCAGGCUGCAACUCGCCUGCAUGAAGCUGGAAUUGCUAGUAAUCGCGCAUCAGCCAUGGCGCGGUGAAUACGUUCCCGGGCCUUGUACACACCGCCCGUCA